Molecule: transfer RNA, 80 nt
Filed under: Klebsiella pneumoniae
Lineage: Bacteria; Pseudomonadati; Pseudomonadota; Gammaproteobacteria; Enterobacterales; Enterobacteriaceae
Description: tRNA-Gly(gcc)
Rfam family: tRNA
About the family: Transfer RNA (tRNA) molecules are approximately 80 nucleotides in length. Their secondary structure includes four short double-helical elements and three loops (D, anti-codon, and T loops).
Source: RNAcentral
GCGGGAAUAGCUCAGUUGGUAGAGCACGACCUUGCCAAGGUCGGGGGGGGUCGCGAGUUCGAGUCUCGUUUCCCGCUCCA